This 426-nucleotide ribosomal RNA is filed under the name uncultured bacterium. Its description in RNAcentral is "bacterial SSU rRNA". It matches the Rfam family "Bacterial small subunit ribosomal RNA", at positions 917 to 1344 of the family's 1533-position model. The record is from RNAcentral.
GGGCCCGCACAAGCGGUGGAGCAUGUGGUUUAAUUCGAUGAUACGCGAGGAACCUUACCAGGGCUUAAAUGUAGUAUGACCGGUCUGGAAACAGACCUUCUCUUCGGAGCAGAUUACAAGGUGCUGCAUGGUUGUCGUCAGCUCGUGCCGUGAGGUGUUAGGUUAAGUCCUGCAACGAGCGCAACCCCUAUUCUUAGUUGCCAGCGGUUCGGCCGGGGACUCUAAGAAGACUGCCAGCGCAAGCUGAGAGGAAGGUGGGGAUGACGUCAAAUCAUCACGGCCCUUAUGUCCAGGGCUGCACGCAUGCUACAAUGGCAAGUACAACGAGUCGCAAUACCGCGAGGUGGAGCAAAUCUCUUAAAGCUUGUCUCAGUUCGGAUAGGAGUCUGCAACUCGACUCCUUGAAGUUGGAGUCGCUAGUAAUCG